Long non-coding RNA from Amyelois transitella, 2738 nucleotides. RefSeq lists it as uncharacterized. The transcript is spliced from 3 exons. The record is from RefSeq and is a predicted model, not a curated record. Lineage: Eukaryota; Metazoa; Arthropoda; Insecta; Lepidoptera; Pyralidae.
CUUCAACGUUUUUAUUUUAAAUUAUGUUGAUUUUUAGCAAUUAUUACGAAUUAAAAUUACGUUAAACGAAACGCAUUUCAAAACACCAAUCAGCGUUCAGUGACGUCACUCGUGCUGUGUCAACUUUUAGAAGUUAACUUUGCGAUUAAUAGGCAGUAGUGCUUUAUUUACGUAUUAUUUACGUUUUAAAUAAAAAUGGAAGUUAGAUUUAAUAAAACAGACUCCAAAAAUUUACCAAAAAAAAAUUUUUUGUUGUGAGUGCAGAGUUUUCAAGUGUAGAAAUGAAAGGCACUAAAUUAGUACGGUAUGCAUGAAUGUUUUUAAACGUUGUUUGCAUUUUAUUCAGCAAUUUCUAAACAUAGCAGUUAUAAUUUAGCUCAACGAGAGAAUCUUACGGCGAUAACGCAAUCGGUUUUGUGCAAAUUAAAAGAGAUGGAGAUGGAUUAAUUAUGUACAGUGAAAAGUCGAGUUACUCCAGAGCACAAAGUACGAAAAGAAGGUUAUCGUGUUACAGCUGUAAUAAAUGUAGCAUAAAGCUUAGUUCUGUCCUGCCAAUGCGAAGAUUGUGCAGCUUCUGCAGGUGGGUGCAAGCAUCCUGCUGCACUAUUGCUAUGGGGCACAGAAGGUCUGAGCAGCCUCCAAUUACGUCCGUCACAUGCUAUUGGAAGAAGUCGAAAUUAUCUACAUGAGCUUCUGGAAAAUCUGUCAUAAAAGCCAAAGAAAUGGGUCAAGUUUCAGUCAAUCACAGUUUCUCUCAAGUAAGCAGCUUUUUUAUUUAAAGAGAUUGAAAAGAAGUUAAAUGUGUGUUACAAUAAUAACUGCAUAUUUUUAGGUGGAUAUUUUAUAAGAAUUUGUAGAUGCUGUCAAUAAAAAAGAUUGUCGGGGAAGUAUUCUUCGCUACUUUCAAUAAGACAAGCAUUCAUAAGGUGUGUUCAAGCUUGAUUGGAAUGUUGGACUCUCCAGAAUCAUUUCUUGAAGCAUUAUCAAAGCAAAUGACCACUGAUAAUGUAAAUAUGGUAUUUUACCACCACCAAACAUCAAAGUGAUUCACCAAUGUGGUUUGAGUUGAGGUAAGUAGUAAGACUUCUAGCUUAGUUUUGUUUAUUGUAUUUAUCACUAAAAUACCAUGAAUAAAAAAAAUAUUUUGACAAAAUAAACUCAUUAUCAUACUCACAUAACAUAAACUUGAUUGGCAUAUUAGCUGUAUAUAAGUUUAUUUUUCUAUUUUACAGGUACGGCAGAAUUACUGGCUCAACUCUUUAUGAAGCCGCUCACUGUAGAACUAUAAAUGGUUCCCUUCUGAACGCAAUUAUGGGAGAACAUUCAAAAUUUACUUCCAUUGCGAUGAGUAGAGGGAAAAUACUAGAAAAAAGUUCUCAAAGUAGUAAGCAAGAAAGAAAAGAUUGAAAUUGAAGAAGCUGGACUACUUCUUAAUGCCGAGUAUCCUAUUUUUGGAGCAACACCUGACGGGCUUACUGAAAAUUAUACAAUAGAAGUCAAAUAUCCUUCAACCGAAGCUGCCAUACUUUCCUAUGUGAAAUACAAUAAAAUAACACCAAAAUGUUGUGUGCCAUAUGGUAACAGCAUUGUAUCUGUAAUGAAUAUUGCAAAGAAAUUCUGGAUAGAUGCUGUAUUUCCGAAAUUAAAAGAUAUAUAUAAGCACAUUUUUUUGUUUUUCAAAUAUUUCAUAAAUUUAUUAAAUAAAACUAUGCUUCGAAAAUAUUGUUUUUUAUUCAAUUUUAAUUAAAGGUGAUUAACAAGUGCACAACAAAUGAUUAUACUAUAGUCUAUUUGGGGUAUGAGAAAAUGAUCUACACAGGCAUUUAGAAACUUUGUUAAAGUAGAUGGACACAUAGGCACAAAACAUGAGUCAACACGACUUUUUAUCCGAAUUUUUUCGGUAUUAUGUCUUGUGAUCACUUGAUGUGGAUGGAUAUUCCAUUUUAAAUUAUUACAAAAAACUUAGUGGAAAGUCGAGAAAAUUUGCAAUUUAUGAUAAUCAACCAGUGUUUCCACUAUAAAAAUUUUCUUUCCCCAUGCCUCAAUUCCGAUUUCCCCUUUUCAGAACUUUUUUCCCCUCAAAAAUUAUUUUGCUGUAGUUUUGGCACUUUUGUUGUAACUAAAAGUUUAAUUUUUAAAUAUAUUUUUUAUAAAUAUAUACGGGACAAAUUACACUGAUUGAGUUAGCCUCGAAGUAAGUUCGAGACUGUGUUACGAGAUACUAACUCAACGAUACUUUGUAUAUUUUAUAAUAAAUACUUAUAUAGAUAAACAUCCAAGACCCAAACCAAUCAGAAAAAGUUCUUUUCUCAUUAUGCCCUGACCGGGAUUCGAACCCGGGACCUCUGGUGUCACAGACACGCGUACUACCGCUGCGCCAAAGAGGCCGUCGAUAUAAUUUUAUAUAUAAUAAAAAUUAAUAUAUGAUUACCUAAAAUUUCCCCUUUUAUAGUAUUUCCCCUUUUUCUUCCCCUCUGGACCCUGAUUACCCCUUAAAAGGAGAAUUUCCCCUCAUUGUGGAAACACUGUAAUCAACGAAGGCAAGCACGACCAGUGUCAGACACGUGUGACGUCAUUGGAAGUGUAGGUCCGUUUUGGCGCGAAAAUUUAAACGAUCAGUUUAAAGCCGCAUUUUUUUACGAUAAAUUAGAUUGUUUUAAUUUUUUUAAUAUGUUAAGACCUAUUUUACAUGGAAUUCUUUAAAAUGAAAUCAAAACUAAAAUUAUUGCAUGUUCCCU